Molecule: ribosomal RNA, 775 nt
Filed under: uncultured Neocallimastigales
Lineage: Eukaryota; Fungi; Neocallimastigomycota; Neocallimastigomycetes; Neocallimastigales
Description: partial large subunit ribosomal RNA
Rfam family: Eukaryotic large subunit ribosomal RNA
Source: RNAcentral
ACACGCAUGACACACUGCAUAUCAAUAAGCGGAGGAAAAGAAACUAACAAGGAUUCCCUUAGUAACGGCGAGUGAAGCGGGAAGAGCUCAAAUUUGAAAUCUCAAGGUUCUACCUUGACGAAUUGUAGUUUAUAGAAGUGUUUUCUGUUAGUAGAGUUGGCUAAAAGUUCUUUGGAAUAGGACAUCAUAGAGGGUGAGAAUCCCGUAUUUGACCAUUAUUUUCAGCUGUGUGAUACACUUUCAAAGAGUCGGAUUGUUUGGGAAUGCAGUCCAAAAUGGGUGGUAAAUUUCAUCUAAAGCUAAAUAUUGGCGAGAGACCGAUAGCGAACAAGUACCGUGAGGGAAAGAUGAAAAGAACUUUGAAAAGAGAGUUAAACAGUACGUGAAAUUGUCAAAAGGGAAGCGUUUGACACCAGUGUUGUUUUCUCGAAAAUCAAUUAGAAAAGGCCGGAUUUUGUGUUGUAUUGACCUUAAAAGCUUCCUUCACUCUUUUCUUGUCUUUUUUAAUGCACUUUUCGUUUAACAAGUCAACAUCAGUUUCUUUUGUUGUAAAAGGGUCAUUGGAAGGUGGCUUUCUUUUCGGAGAAAGUGUUUAUAGCCUUUGAUCUCUGCAACCGGAGAGACUGAGGUCUGCAGCGUAGACUCUUCGGGGUUAGAUACAUUUGUGCUAAGCUAUAGCUUUUUAUAGACAACUUGUUGACUAUAUUUAGUCUUGUGGCUUACUCGCUUAUGCUAUUUUACCUACGCUUAGGAUGUUGAGCGCAUGUCUCUCUCU